Molecule: transfer RNA, 72 nt
Filed under: Pseudocrossocheilus tridentis
Lineage: Eukaryota; Metazoa; Chordata; Actinopteri; Cypriniformes; Cyprinidae
Description: tRNA-Asp
Rfam family: tRNA
About the family: Transfer RNA (tRNA) molecules are approximately 80 nucleotides in length. Their secondary structure includes four short double-helical elements and three loops (D, anti-codon, and T loops).
Source: RNAcentral
AAGAUAUUAGUAAAACGCAUAUUACAUUACCUUGUCAAGGUAAAAUUGUAGGUUAAAUUCCUGCAUGUCUUA